This 263-nucleotide signal recognition particle RNA is filed under the name Candidatus Neoanaerotignum tabaqchaliae. RNAcentral describes it as "Bacterial large signal recognition particle RNA". It matches the Rfam family "Bacterial large signal recognition particle RNA". From Rfam's summary of the family: The signal recognition particle (SRP) is a universally conserved ribonucleoprotein involved in the co-translational targeting of proteins to membranes. Archaeal SRP consists of a 7S RNA and homologues of the eukaryotic SRP19 and SRP54 proteins. The record is from RNAcentral. Lineage: Bacteria; Bacillati; Bacillota; Clostridia.
CAUGCUAGCCGGGGAAUUAGCGGCGCCCUGUACCCACAAUCCGCUACAGUGGGGGUGACGCCCGCCGCAGGCUCUUUUGUUUUUCUGGUCUGCCCUUUGAAUAGGGCGUUGAAGACUGAGUCUUGUGCAACAGGAACUUACGAACCGUGUCAGGUCCGGAAGGAAGCAGCACUAAGUAACCACUUCUGUGUGCCGCAAGGUAGCUUGGUCCGAGCUUGAAGCAAAGGUAACGCUUAAAAGCAGGAGUCGAUAGCGGGUGCAUG